GAGAUUUGAUGAUUCAGUCCGAGUACCAUCACUACUGAAUACGCCCAAUCUACUGCAAAGUCUCUGAGGGGCAUGAUAGUGACUUUGGGCUAAACUCCCACUAAACUUGUAGAUUAAUCUUUAAAUUAAAUUCUUUUAUAAUAAUUAAUAUUAUUCCUCUUCUCUCGCUGCUGGCUCCUUUUAUGUGCAGCUGUACCUUUACAUCUUAAUCAUAUACACAUAAAAGAAGCCCAUAAAAUACAGAAUAGAGAAUCAGCCUCCAACAAGAACACUGAAGAUAAUCAGUCCUCCCUGAACCAGUAACAGGAGCGGAGACGACCUUCAACCAUGCCCACGUAAACCGGGGACCGAACAGAGAAGGACUUCAGCCUGAGGGUUUCUCCUGACAGGACCUGUGACGUCACCAGAACCUGUGCAGUCUUGCACAACAUCACCACCCUGAGAGACCAGAUCCAGAAUGACGGGAAGACUCUGAGUCGGCUGACUCACCAACUGCGAGGAGGCUUCAGGGCCCAUUUCAGUUUGUCCCCGUGUGACUCAGGGCCACUUCUUAUUUGGCAGCUCAGCGUUGAAGUGAGUUAUUAAAACACUGAUUACAGUUCAAAGCUCGACCUUCCCCCGCUUCUUUAACUCCGACUGCAGCUUCUUGUAGUUUGACAGAAUGUGUCAGCUGACUUGUGCAAAGUGACUUUCUUUAUUCCUGGCUGACGUCACGUCCUGCAGAAGCUCUGUGGUUUCACAUCAUCCGUGGUCCAGAACCUCUCAUGUGGUCCUUCGCUCACUUUUCCCCCAGAGCUGUGGACAGGCUGCAAAAAGCAGAACAGCACCGAUCGCUGCCACGGCCAUGAAGCCCCGCCCCCCUGCAGGUGGUAAAGCAAAAGAAGGAUCUGCAUAAGGUGCCCAGUGCUUUAACUAAACAAGACCUUCUCCAUCAUGGUCCAGGGGCGGCGUGUUGGUGCUGACAGGUGGAAACGAUGAUGCUCACGUUCGGCUUCCUGAUUGGCUCUGAUCAGUCAGUCAAAGCAGGAAGACGAUGCUGCUGACAGAGUUUUAUUAAAGUAUUCUGCACUGUGUAAAUAACACUUGUACACUUGUACUCUGCACGUCUCUGUAUUGACUUUGUGGCGACUCCCAGUCUGUUUCCCGCCGCCACCAUCUCUAAGGCUUCGUGUGACGGGUCUCUCCGGGCUGCCUGCCCCUGAAACAGCAGAAUGGAUCCAGCUGAGAGGCUCCACACUCUGAAUCAGGCCAUUUCAACACAACUUUAAACACUGACAUUAUCUAGCCUGCUGAUAAUUAAUCUCUUAUUUAAACAUAAAACAUCAGGUAGGCUGGUAUUAGUUCUGCUUUUAGCCUGUCGGCAUUUUCUGCACGUGCACGGUAGACAUGACGUGCACAGGAUUAUUCAGGCCCAUUUGAUUUACUGCUGAAGACUGUUCAGCCGUCAGCUCAGCACCUUCUUCUGACUCACAACUGGAUUCAUAACAAAGGACGGCAGAAGAGAUGAAGGAAGGCUUCAUCUCGCUGCUAUUUCUGGAUUAAUUGUGGUCUGUGAGUCAGAGUGAAUCAAGCGUAAAGAUGCAGGUCGAACCUGAGUCACUGUUUACAGUCUGAAUGUGUCUGAAGGGAAAGUGAGAGUCAGACUCUUUAAUCCAGAGAACCGGUUUCAUUAGCUGUGGAGUUCAUCAGAUUAUUAUUUAUUUGCUUAGUCCUAUUUAGUCUUGAAGAUAUUUCACCUAAAUUCCAAAAGGCUGCUGAAGUGUGAAGAAUAUAUUAAAUAAAACUGGUCACAUUCAA
Long non-coding RNA from Micropterus salmoides (largemouth bass), 1797 nucleotides. RefSeq lists it as uncharacterized. Lineage: Eukaryota; Metazoa; Chordata; Actinopteri; Centrarchiformes; Centrarchidae. The transcript has 2 exons. The record is from RefSeq and is a predicted model, not a curated record.